AUGUCGAAGGCGCCGCGCGGCCCCAGGAAGGCGGUGAGGAGAGGCCCGUGGUCGAGGGAGGAGGACGCUAAGCUGACGGACCACAUCGCCAAGCAUGGCCUCGGCCGCUGGAGUGAUAUCCCCAGGCUAGCAGGCAUUGAGAGGGGCGGAAAGAGCUGCAGGCUGAGGUGGUUAAACUACCUCCGGCCGGACCUCAAGCGGGCCGCGCUCUCGCAGGAAGAGGAGGAUCUCAUCAUCCAGCUCCACUCCAUCAUAGGCAACAGCUGGACUCUGAUCGCGGCGUGCUUGCCGGGGCGGACGGACAACGGGGUCAAGAACUUCUGGAACGCCUCCAUCAAGCACAAGCUCCGCCGGCGUGGCAUCGACCCGGACACCCACGAGCCGAUGGUCGACGAGGGCACGAGGAACGGCGACGCCCAGCACAUCCUGCCAUCCCACCUUGCGGCAGGUAGCAACACGUGCAGCCAUGGAGCCCUUCCGCUGCCGGACUCCAUCACUAGCUACGUGGACACGGACCCGCUAGAGCUCCAGCACGGCGUUGUACUUGUACAGCCGGUGGUGUCGAGCUCCAGCAAGGUGGGCUCUGACCCGUCCAGCACCGGCUCCGACACCGGCGAGCAGUGCCCCAACGGCGCAGACAGGGCAGCCAGUUGUUCGAUCUGA
This 663-nucleotide ribosomal RNA is filed under the name Triticum aestivum (bread wheat). RNAcentral describes it as "partial small subunit ribosomal RNA". The record is from RNAcentral. Lineage: Eukaryota; Viridiplantae; Streptophyta; Magnoliopsida; Poales; Poaceae.